AUUGAACGCUGGCGGCAGGCUUAACACAUGCAAGUCGAGCGGGGUGAUGGUGCUUGCACUAUCACUUAGCGGCGGACGGGUGAGUAAUGCUUAGGAAUCUGCCUAUUAGUGGGGGACAACAUCUCGAAAGGGAUGCUAAUACCGCAUACGUCCUACGAGAGAAAGCAGGGGAUCACUUGUGACCUUGCGCUAAUAGAUGAGCCUAAGUCGGAUUAGCUAGUUGGUGGGGUAAAGGCCUACCAAGGCGACGAUCUGUAGCGGGUCUGAGAGGAUGAUCCGCCACACUGGGACUGAGACACGGCCCAGACUCCUACGGGAGGCAGCAGUGGGGAAUAUUGGACAAUGGGGGGGACCCUGAUCCAGCCAUGCCGCGUGUGUGAAGAAGGCCUUAUGGUUGUAAAGCACUUUAAGCGAGGAGGAGGCUCUUUUGGUUAAUACCCAAGAUGAGUGGACGUUACUCGCAGAAUAAGCACCGGCUAACUCUGUGCCAGCCGCCGCAGUA
RNAcentral lists this ribosomal RNA (502 nucleotides) under uncultured bacterium. Its description in RNAcentral is "partial 16S ribosomal RNA". It matches the Rfam family "Bacterial small subunit ribosomal RNA", at positions 30 to 522 of the family's 1533-position model. The record is from RNAcentral.